UGGGGCCCUGGCUGGGAUAUCAUCAUAUACUGUAAGUUUGAGAUGAGACACUACAGUAUAGAUGAUGUACUAGUCCGGGCACCCCC
Molecule: microRNA precursor, 86 nt
Organism: Rhinopithecus bieti (black snub-nosed monkey)
Lineage: Eukaryota; Metazoa; Chordata; Mammalia; Primates; Cercopithecidae
Gene: MIR144
Product: microRNA 144
Source: Ensembl